CCUACGGGUGGCAGCAGUGGGGAAUAUUGGGCAAUGGGCGCAAGCCUGACCCAGCAACGCCGCGUGAAGGAAGAAGGCUUUCGGGUUGUAAACUUCUUUUCUGAGGGACGAAGAAAGUGACGGUACCUCAGGAAUAAGGCACGGCUAACUACGUGACGGCAGCCGCGGUAAUACGUAGGUGGCAAGCGUUAUCCGGAUUUAGUGGGUGGAAAGGGCGAGUAGGCGGGAAAGCAAUUUAGAUGUGAAAACUCAGGGCUCAACCCGGAGCCUGCAUUUGAAAAUGUUUUUAUUGAGUUCUGGAGAGGCAAUCGGAAGUCCGUGUGUAGCGGUGAAAUGCGUAGAUAUACGGAGGAACACCAGUGGCGAAGGCGGAUUGCUGGACAGUAACUGACGCUGAGGCGCGAAAGCGUGGGGAGCAAACAGGAUUAGAUACCCGGGUAGUC
RNAcentral lists this ribosomal RNA (443 nucleotides) under uncultured bacterium. Its description in RNAcentral is "partial 16S ribosomal RNA". It matches the Rfam family "Bacterial small subunit ribosomal RNA", at positions 338 to 795 of the family's 1533-position model. The record is from RNAcentral.